AUUGAACGCUGGCGGCAUGCUUUACACAUGCAAGUCGAACGGUAACAGGUUAAGCUGACGAGUGGCGAACGGGUGAGUAAUGCAUCGGAACGUGCCCGAUCGUGGGGGAUAACACUUCGAAAGAAGUGCUAAUACCGCAUACGAUCUGAGGAUGAAAGCGGGGGACCGUAAGGCCUCGCGCGAUCGGAGCGGCCGAUGGCCGAUUAGGUAGUUGGUGGGGUAAAGGCUCACCAAGCCGACGACCCGUAGCUGGUCUGAGAGGACGACCAGCCAGACUGGGACUGAGCCACGGCCCGGACUCCUACGGGAGGCAGCAGUGGGGAAUUUUGGACAAUGGGCGCAAGCCUGAUCCAGCAAUGCCGCGUGCAGGAAGAAGGCCUUCGGGUUGUAAACUGCUUUUGUACGGGGCGAAAAGGCUCCCUCUAAUACAGGGGGCUCAUGACGGUACCGUAAGAAUAAGCACCGGCUAACUACGUGCCAGCAGCCGCCGUAA
This 493-nucleotide ribosomal RNA is filed under the name uncultured bacterium. RNAcentral's name for it is "partial 16S ribosomal RNA". It matches the Rfam family "Bacterial small subunit ribosomal RNA", at positions 29 to 523 of the family's 1533-position model. The record is from RNAcentral.